CAGCAUAUCAAUAAGCGGAGGAAAAGAAACCAACAGGGAUUGCCUCAGUAACGGCGAGUGAAGCGGCAACAGCUCAAAUUUGAAAUCUGGCCCUAGGCCCGAGUUGUAAUUUGCAGAGGAUGCUUUUGGUGCGGUGCCUUCCAAGUUCCCUAGAACGGGACGCCAGAGAGGGUGAGAGCCCCGUACAGUUGGACACCAAGCCUUUGUAAAGCUCCUUCGACGAGUCGAGUAGUUUGGGAAUGCUGCUCAAAAUGGGAGGUAUAUUUCUUCUAAAGCUAAAUACCGGCCAGAGACCGAUAGCGCACAAGUAGAGUGAUCGAAAGAUGAAAAGCACUUUGAAAAGAGGGUUAAACAGCACGUGAAAUUGUUAAAAGGGAAGCGCUUGUGACCAGACUUGCGUCCGGUGAAUCACCCAGCUCUCGCGGCUGGGGCACUUCGCCGGCUCAGGCCAGCAUCAGCUCGCUGUCGGGGACAAAAGCUUCAGGAACGUAGCUCUCUUCGGGGAGUGUUAUAGCCUGUUGCACAAUACCCUUCGGCGGGCUGAGGUACGCGCUCCGCAAGGAUGCUGGCAUAAUGGUCAUCAGCGACCCGUCUUGAAACACGGACCAAGGAGUCAACCUUAUGUGCGAGUGUUCGGGUGUCAAACCCCUACGCGUAAUGAAAGUGAACGCAGGUGAGAGCUUCGGCGCAUCAUCGACCGAUCCUGAUGUUCUCGGAUGGAUUUGAGUAAGAGCAUAUAGGGUUGGACCCGAAAGAAGGUGAACUAUGCGUGUAUAGGGUGAAGCCAGAGGAAACUCUGGUGGAGGCUCGCAGCGGUUCUGACGUGCAAAUCGAUCGUCAAAUAUGCGCAUGGGGGCGAAAGACUAAUUAAACCUUCUAGUAGCUGGUUCGC
This 892-nucleotide ribosomal RNA is filed under the name Colletotrichum fructicola. Its description in RNAcentral is "LSU rRNA". It matches the Rfam family "Eukaryotic large subunit ribosomal RNA", at positions 36 to 959 of the family's 3401-position model. Lineage: Eukaryota; Fungi; Ascomycota; Sordariomycetes; Glomerellales; Glomerellaceae. The record is from RNAcentral.